GGCAACAGAGCGGGACUCCAUCUAAAAAUAAUAAUAAUAAUAAUAAAAUUCACAUGAGGGUGGAGAGGUUAGGAAACAGCUGUGCUUUUUAAGCUGUUGGCAGUGGGUCUGGAGUUUGGGGUUUGGAGAAGGCUCCCCAUUUCCUGGGCAGAUAGGAGUGAGCUGGGCUGAUGGCAGGCAGGUUCUAGAAGCUACCAGCCUUGGGAGCCCACCCUUCUCUUCCUCCCUCCUGGCUAUUACCCCCAGCACCUGCCCUAAUGCUGGCCAGAGUGGAGGGCGGAGGGCCAGCCCCUGACCCAGGUACCCAGUGGCCCCUCUGAGAUGCCUCUGGCCUCUGGCUGCUACCCUCUCCUGGGCAUUUUCCAUUUACUGUGAUGGCAGAAAAACCCAGUACCCUUAAACAGUAAACAACACAGUGAACUGUGAGUGAAGUCCGUGUGGGCUUAGCCAGACCUGUGUGUUUGCAAACCGGAUCCCAGUAUGGACUGUGCCCUGCAGGCGGCCUCUCUUGCUAGAAUCUGUUCUGGAACUAGCCCGGUUGAUGAGCAUGUUGAUAUUAACGGCCUGGCUUGGCCAAAGCUUCCGGCCCAGCACGCUUUAGCAUCAGCUGGUUAUUCUGAGAACAUUCUUUUCAAAACACUCUACAGGACAAACAGGCCGAGAGGUUCCUUUGUCCACAGCUGGCCUCUGAAACUGAGCAGACUCUCAAAGGGUUGAGAAGAACCCCGAGGAGGCUAUCGUCUGCACUCAGAGGCUGAAACGUUUGAAAACAGGUGCGGGAGGGGGCGGGGAGGAUGGUCAGUGACAGCACAUUCUUCAGCAAACAUGUGUCAUUUGUGCUUUUACCAGAGCGGAGCUUUUAAUUCCUAAAAUAUAACAGCCUGGUGCAGGGGCUGGAAGAAGAGGGCGCGUUUUAUGUGCAACUCUGCUAAGGGCUUGGUUGCUGAAUGAAAGGUUUGGUUCCAUGGAGGUUCAGGUACCUUCGCCUUCAGAACCACACCUUCCUUUUCAUCUCCAGCCUCCCUGGGCUCUCACCUGGCUGCUAGGGGGUCGGGGGUGGGUUGGUCUCAGCCCUCCUGGAGCUCUGCUUGCUACUGGGUGGGAAGGCUUGCUCUAUACUGCAGACAUCUUUCUGGAUUGAGGCUAUCAAUUGACUCCCUGCCCUCUGCCUCCUAUGUCCGUGAUUCCUGCUUGUCACAGAAGAGCUGCUGGGUCUUCGUUGCUUUUAUCUCCAAAGCCUUUUGAUGAGGUAGAAAGGAAAGGUCAUCAGAUUCAGGCUGACCUGCGUUUCCACUUCUGCGUUGUCAUUUGCAGCUGUGUGGCCUAGGACUAGUGGCUGAACCUCUCUGGGCCCCAGUAAGACGGGAAACCAAACACUGGCCUCAUUGCGUUGGUUAUCAUGCAGAGUCAGUAAGCCCAGGGAAAACAUUCACACAAAAAUGCUAAUAGCUGAUGGUUACUGAGCUCUUUGUGUGUAUCAUGCUCUAUUCGACGUGCUUGGCCAUACAUUAACUUAUUUGAUUUUUUCCAAAAUACUUUGAGAUAGAUACUGUUAUCGACCUCAUUUUACCAAAAGGUAACGAAGGCAUGGAGAAGGUAAAUUGCUUGCCAAGCGUUGCCUGAUUUUAAACCUCUGCGAUCUGUAUACAGAACCUGUGCUUAUAAUUUUGAUUUAAAUACUUACUAAAUAAACAAUAACUUUUAUUAUGUUGCUCGUUAAUACUCCCUGACAACUAAGUUGAAGCUACUGCUUAUCCUCAACUGCCAACAACCACUGAUGUCACUGGACUCCAGCACCCUUCGUAAUACAGACCCAUUAAUUUAUCUAAUCCAGAAAUACUGUUGUUGUUUUUUUUCCCCUUUUAGCAGAGCCCUCCCUAUUGGUUCAUAUUGUCUCCUUGGAACCUAUGUGGGUCUUCUUGGGGAUGAAGACAUUAUUGAAAUUUUUGCUGGUUGGGCACGGUGGCUCACGCCUGUAAUCCCAACACUUUGGGAGGCCGAGGCGGGUGGAUCACCUGAGGUCAGGAGUUCGAGACCAGCCUCGAAUUAUUAUAAAAUAAUUCCAACACGCUGAAACCCUGUCUACUAAAAAUACAAAAAAUUAGAAAAAAUUAGCCGGGCGCGGUGGCAGGCGCCUGUAGUCCCAGCUACUCGGGAGGCUGAGGCAGGAGAAUGGCGUGAACCCGGGAAGCGGAGCUUGCAGUGAGCCGAGAUUGCGCCACUGCAGU
RNAcentral lists this long non-coding RNA (2228 nucleotides) under Homo sapiens (human). Its description in RNAcentral is "HSALNT0244111". The record is from RNAcentral. Lineage: Eukaryota; Metazoa; Chordata; Mammalia; Primates; Hominidae.